CUCUCCAUCACUAACUGCCACUGAUCCCUGUCUGCUCUAAUCCCUCUCUUCAUCCCUAACUGCCAUCAAUCACUGUCUACUCCUAUCUCGCUCUACAUUACUAACUGCAACUGAGCCCUGUCUGUUCCUAUCCUUGUUCUCUGGGAACUGGGGCCAGGGCAGGACUGAUCAACCAGGUUACUCGGAAAUAAAUUUGCGACAGUGCGCAGACACGGGGUGACAGUCAGGAGGGGAAGCAUUCCCAUUACUGCCAGUCACUGCAUAUAGAGUAGCUAGGCCACGGACUGGGGGGAGGGAGCUUCUGUUUCCUGCCAGACUAGGGCGAUGGAGUGAGACACAUGGAGAGGCUAAGAGCAAAUGAGACACAUGGAGUGGUUGGGGGGAAAUGACACGUGGCGGAACAGACCUCGCCAAGUGUUCUUGGAGGGGGCUGCUUGCCCGCCUCCUACCUUCUGACUAUGGCCCUGGGAUAUAUGGCAUUUGAAUACACUAUUUGUGCACUGUGACAAAACUGGAGAUUGUGCACAAAUAUGACUAUUGUUCAUCUUUUUUAUGUUUCCCUUCAUUGUUGCACUGUUCCCCAUGUGUUUCAUCUGUUGGUUCGGCUGGAUAGACUACCAGACAAACUGUGGAGUUAGUGGGUGGCCACCAUUUCAUGUAUUAGAGGCACAUGGUGAGAACAAUGGAUGAAGCACAUGGUGAGAACAAUGGAUGGCGACCAUUUUAACUCACAGACACUGUUUGGACUUUUCUACACGGUGCCAUCUCGCCAGUAUUUGGUGCACAAAGACAUCGUUCAGUAGUUUUAAACUAUACAACAGGGGACACAUUAUACAGUGAUUGUUUUUCAUAUAGCCUGUAUAUGUUCUGCGGAAUCUGCAUUAAACUGUAUCUUACAAACUACUGAACGGAUCUGGGUGAAUUUUGGAUAUAUAUUUUUUAUGGGGUUAUUGCAUGUUUUGGGG
Molecule: non-coding RNA, 965 nt
Organism: Pelobates cultripes (western spadefoot toad)
Lineage: Eukaryota; Metazoa; Chordata; Amphibia; Anura; Pelobatidae
Source: the annotation of a GenBank genome assembly